Molecule: ribosomal RNA, 265 nt
Filed under: uncultured Chloroflexota bacterium
Lineage: Bacteria; Bacillati; Chloroflexota
Description: uncultured Chloroflexi bacterium partial 16S ribosomal RNA
Rfam family: Bacterial small subunit ribosomal RNA
Source: RNAcentral
AACCCUCGUCGGCUAGUUACUUUUCUCUAGCGAUACUGCCCGUAUAACGUGGAGGAAGUGGGGAUGACGUCAAGUCAGCACGGCCCUUACAUCCUGGGCUGCACACACGCUACAAUGGGUGAUACAACAGGUUGCAAUAGAGCGAUCUGGAGCCAAUCCCUAAAAUCAUCCUCAGUACGGAUUGCAGGCUGCAACUGCCUGCAUGAAGUUGGAGUUGCUAGUAAACGCAGGUCAGCACACUGCGUUGAAUACGUUCUCGGGCCUU